GAGCAACGUUUGUGGAGCAGCGCUGAAAGACGGAGGCAGAAGGUGGAGCGUCUUCGUCCUGCACGGAGCUUCGGUGGUGAUGUCAGGUCAUGCCUGGCCGACAGGUGCUACGCUUUGUCAUGCCUGGUCGGCAGGUGCUACGCACGACAGAUCUUACUGAGUCUUCGCGUCUGGAUGAACGAGCGCAGGGAGGGGGUGCCAUUGGGCGUCGUGGUGGCGUCGACGGAUGGCCGGACUAACAAGGAUUAUGCGGAUCUUUAUCCUGAAGAUGGUUCAACGGUUCGAUGAUGAUGGCGGCUUUUAAAACGUGUGCUUGUGGUGUACGCUUUAGGUCUGCUGCACCGGCUGUGAGUUCCGAUACGUCAUGUGGAUGGAUCGGAGACGACACCGGAUUUAGAUAUGGGGAGUGAGUGCACUCCACAUU
RNAcentral lists this long non-coding RNA (424 nucleotides) under Hordeum vulgare. RNAcentral's name for it is "long non-coding RNA (HVUL_LNC006379)". The record is from RNAcentral. Lineage: Eukaryota; Viridiplantae; Streptophyta; Magnoliopsida; Poales; Poaceae.